This 789-nucleotide long non-coding RNA is filed under the name Volvox carteri. RNAcentral's name for it is "long non-coding RNA (VCAR_LNC001659)". The record is from RNAcentral. Lineage: Eukaryota; Viridiplantae; Chlorophyta; Chlorophyceae; Chlamydomonadales; Volvocaceae.
UUACAAGAAAUUAAUUAUAAAAUUAAAUUGGCUUUCAGCACUCUGGGAAAAGCCAUCGUCCAUAAAUGGUUCAGGAUCCAUAUUAUGGGGUUUCCUAUCCGUGAAAUGGGGUUUCCUAUCCGUGAAAUGGGUUCCCUAUCCGUGAAAUGGGUUCCCUAUCCGUAAAAUGCACUUCUGGCGGGAUAUGGAUUGCCCGAACUGCACUUGUUUUUGGUGUCUAUUUUCACAGGUACAUACUUCUAUAUUGACACUUCUUGCUUGUAAUGCAGCAGCACGUCAGGAGUGCCAUCCUCAGUCUGUCUUCCAUAAAGCGUUGCUCGUCUUCCAUACGGUACUUUGUUUCCAUAGUGUCCCACUCGCCUUCCAUAAAAUGCAUUUUACCGGGCCAGGGAAUUAAUUAAUAGAGGAACACGUUUUUGUAAGGACAUGCUUCGGAAUUGACAGUGCUUGCUAUUAUUGCAUCAGGGAGCUCUGGCCGCGGCAGCAGUGUCAUCCUCUGGCCGCGCCAGCGUCGUCCUUUAUUCCUUAUGCCCAGUUAACCCAGCUUAAUUGCAUUAUAAUGCAAGCUGUUUGGCAAGUUGGGCAUUACGCCCAGUGCGUAACUGUCGGACAAACCGUUUCUCAACGGCCCGUGUCCUCAGGGGCAUCAUUAACUGUGUGCAAGAAUCUGAUAAGCUGAGCUUGGCUUUUGAUGUUCAGCACAAGCUUAGCAUGAAAAUGGGUCUCGCACCGCCAUAAGGCCCUUCCUGUUGUUGCCUCUCUUCUCCAUGAUUUGUAACAGGAAAUGGC